UUUCUUUCGCGCUCAUUCACUUCCGCCUCCCUCUCGGUCGCAACUGUUUUGCAUCUUGUUUCAUCGCGUUUCACGAUGCCCCGCUUCAACAACGAUUCCACCACGGCCGUCUGCAUCGCCACGGAAUAGGAGCUUUCUCGGUCAACCAAAUUGAAGAAGAGAUGUUAUGAUAUCGCUGAAGGGCGAACUGAAGGAUAGACGUGGACGACUGUUAGGGGGACACGCCAGCCUGUGGGCUGAUGUUGCUGAUGCUGUGGGAAACACCGGCGGACGUCUUGGGGAAGGUAACGACAUCGAAGCGAAGAGUGUGGAGUUCGACAGCCGCAUAGCUGCGGGCGUGAAGUUGAGGGGGAAGAGACCGGAGAGAAGAUGCAGGGGUGACGAAUCAAGGUAAGGUUAAUAACCGCUUGAUAAUGUCCCACUUGUGCCAAUUGAAUGCCUCAGCGUCGACGGAAUGUCAGGAAGUCUAGGUACAAGUACGAGUAUGCCAAUAUAACAAACAUAUGCAUGGUUCCGGAGGCAAUGAGCAAUGGGUGUGUUGAUUUUUUGUUAGUUAUAUGCCGUUUUAAGCGUAACUGAACGGAAUUGUUCUUACCAGCAUAUAAUGGAUAUCGUAUAAUUGUCAUUUUGUAAAAGUAAGC
Molecule: long non-coding RNA, 641 nt
Organism: Ostrinia nubilalis (European corn borer)
Lineage: Eukaryota; Metazoa; Arthropoda; Insecta; Lepidoptera; Crambidae
Exons: 3
Source: RefSeq, a predicted model, not a curated record